CAGAAGAAGGGCUGCCAAAAUUAAAUUAAUGUGAUCCUUCCAUCUCAGAGUGAUUGAUACUCUUGGUACUUGCCAACUGAAGGCGAGGUUUGACUCUGAAGAUGCAAUUCAGAUUGAUUUUAAAUGUUCUUCUUUGUUUUGCUGCAUGGAUGAACUUGGUCCAAGCAAGCGAUGGACCUGGAAAUGACUGUCCGUGUGUUUCGGUGUACGGUAGAAAUAUCCUUCAUACUAAGAUUAAGGACUACACCAUUCAGAAGGAACCUGUCUGUGACUUUAGUCUAGUUGUGUUUCGAACAGUGGCUGGAAGGAUCAUUUGUGCCGACCCCAACAGCAAGUGGGCAAAGCAUAUUAUCCAGAAGUUGGAGGCAAAGACAGCAAUUCAACACUUCAGCCAAUAACAAAAUGUCCAAACCAGUGGGACCACACCGGCAUCCACAAAGUUGCGGAGGACCAUCACAACAGCACACAAACCUGAAAAGGAGAGAACAUGAAGCAUGGCUAGAAGAGUAAUCAAAGAGUAAAACAAGAUGUAAUCAAAGUGUCUUUUACCAAUCAAUUCUACUCUAUUUAUUUGGAUAGUUAAUAUUUUAAAGCAUUAUUUUUUAAGCAUACUCAGAUCACAAGUCUCACUGAAUAAUGGGUACUCUUGCUACUCAGAGAUGCUUAUAUGAAAUCUUUGAUAAUCAGAAAACACUAAAAACAAUGUCACUUCAAAUUUUAUCUGAAAAUAAACAAAUAAUGUCGAGCACAAAACAUUUGUCACUUCAGUAUCUGAUAAAACCUCUUAUGCAAUUUCCACUUGGUGUCCAAGUGAUUGGGUUGCAAGUCAUUGCUUCAAUUAUGACAAAAAUUACAGUAAUCGGGGGAAACAAAACCAUAUAUGGCAAAUCUACAACAUAUCUUAAUAAAGUAUGGUAGAGCUGAUAAUGUAUUACUAUUAGCUAUUACUCU
Poeciliopsis prolifica (blackstripe livebearer) is the source of this 951-nucleotide long non-coding RNA. RefSeq lists it as uncharacterized. The transcript has 3 exons. The record is from RefSeq and is a predicted model, not a curated record. Lineage: Eukaryota; Metazoa; Chordata; Actinopteri; Cyprinodontiformes; Poeciliidae.